CACGUAGGGUGCGAGCGUUGUCCGGAAUUAUUGGGCGUAAAGAGCUCGUAGGCGGUGUGUCGCGUCGGCCGUGAAAACCUGCAGCUUAACUGUGGGCGUGCGGUCGAUACGGGCAUCACUGGAGUUCGGCAGGGGAGACUGGAAUUCCUGGUGUAGCGGUGAAAUGCGCAGAUAUCAGGAGGAACACCGGUGGCGAAGGCGAGUCUCUGGACGACUCCUGACACUGAGGCACGAAAGCUGGGGGAGCAAACAGG
RNAcentral lists this ribosomal RNA (254 nucleotides) under uncultured bacterium. RNAcentral describes it as "partial 16S ribosomal RNA". It matches the Rfam family "Bacterial small subunit ribosomal RNA", at positions 524 to 776 of the family's 1533-position model. The record is from RNAcentral.